GCCAGCAUGGCAUAGUGGUUUGAGCAUUAGUCUACAACUCUGGAGACCAGGGUUCAAUUCCCAGCUUGGUCA
This is a non-coding RNA of Phrynosoma platyrhinos (Desert horned lizard), 72 nucleotides long. Lineage: Eukaryota; Metazoa; Chordata; Lepidosauria; Squamata; Phrynosomatidae. The record is from the annotation of a GenBank genome assembly.